Phthorimaea operculella (potato tuberworm) is the source of this 72-nucleotide non-coding RNA. NCBI's taxonomy places the organism in Eukaryota, Metazoa, Arthropoda, Insecta, Lepidoptera, Gelechiidae. The record is from the annotation of a GenBank genome assembly.
GCAUCGAUUACUCAGUGGCAGAGCGGUGGGACAUUAACCCAUGCAGCGCGGGUUCGAGAUCCGGUCGAUGCA